RNAcentral lists this ribosomal RNA (253 nucleotides) under uncultured bacterium. RNAcentral describes it as "partial 16S ribosomal RNA". It matches the Rfam family "Bacterial small subunit ribosomal RNA", at positions 524 to 776 of the family's 1533-position model. The record is from RNAcentral.
UACGGGGGGGGCAAGCGUUGUUCGGAAUUACUGGGCGUAAAGGGCGCGUAGGCGGCCUGCUAAGUCGGAUGUGAAAUCCCUCGGCUCAACCGAGGAACUGCAUCCGAUACUGGCGGGCUUGAAUCCGGGAGAGGGAUGUGGAAUUCCAGGUGUAGCGGUGAAAUUCGUAGAUAUUCGCAAGAACACCAGUGGCGAAGGCGGCCGACUGGUCCGGUUCUGACGCUGAGGCGCGAAAGCGUGGGGAGCAAACAGG